CUUUCCAUCUUGAAAGCAUUGGAUGAUUCCUGUUGUUGGGGCUCUGACUUGAGAGGAAAAGCUUAGGGAGUUUGACAGAGUUCCAGGAAGGCUUCCUGUAAGAGGUGGCAUGAUGGUACUGUUAAUAAUUAUAACCAUUUGCUGUAUCACAUGUACCACAUGCCAGUCACUGUGUUACCUACAUACAUCAGCGAUGCCACUUCUUGCCAAGUCAUCCUUACAUCUCCUUGUGUGUGGAGUCCAGUUCUACUCACAGACAGCUCUUGCUAAAGAGCCGAGCAAGGAGUAACUGUGCAGCAGAUCUUUCACUUUAGGGCACAGUACCGACCCAAGGCCAGUCCCACUAUCUGUGAGUGAGUGGCCCAGCUUUAGUAGAUGAGGUGGACCAAUCCGAUCAGCUCUCCUUGGGAAUGUGAAAUAAGAGAUGCAGAGGGAUGUUGCCAGUUAGUUGUGGGGAGCUAAGCUGAGAGGUCCAGUACACCAAGAUGCUGGUUGGGUUGGGAGUGCUAUGGACUAGGUCAAGUGCCUGUUGAACAGCUAAAUGUAGUUGGCCAAGCAAGGACAUGGGGCAGUUGUGCAGAGAGAAGCAGGCUUGUGACGUGGAUGAGCCAUAUGAACGACAGACCUCUAGAGCAGAGAGGUUCAUGCUACAGCUAGACAUUUCCUCAAGCUCCAGGUACAAUGAGCUCUAUUUGAAUUCCUACCCUUGGAUUUCUGCUUCCUGAUCUUGCUUCAUUUGGUUUCUGUUUCUUGCAUCCAAAAGAGGCCCAACCCAAGCAACCCUUUCCAUAGAUUCCAUUUAAUUUGUGCUUCAUCCCCUCAGAGCACUUCUUGUACAAUUAGAAGGAAUUUGCACUCUGAUGCCAAGUGGACUGUUCUAAGCAUCUGAGUUAGGAAAAUGGGGUUGGGGUUGUAGUGCUGAACCACCACACCUGACAUUACUGUUUGGGAAGGUCACCAGCCUUCUCAUACUGAAGGGGAAGAGCCAAGCCUUUGUUGAAAUAUACAUGCAAGAGGUUGCUGACACCACACGUAUCAGUGCCAUGCUGCCAGUCCAACUAUGUCUAGUUCUUCAAGCACAAGGUGCUCAAGACCAAUAGCUCCCCACACAAGGUGCAUGCCAAUCGGGUAAUCUUACAGGUGGUGAAGUCAGUACAUUUGAGAAACCUGGUCUUCAUGGGCUCCAGUGGCCCACAUACACCAAGAUGGUGAUGGUUGACCAGAACACCGAACUCAGGAUCAUCAUGGGAAAAUCUCUGCUACUCAGUGAUCCUGGAUGCUCUGCACCAGGCCUUCUUCAAGUGUGGCACUGUCCUCAGUAUCAUCAUCUUCACUAAGACCAACCAUUUCCAGGCAUACUAUCAGCAGCAGUUGCAACUGCAUCAUCAUUUCAAGUCUGAAGGUGUCAGGGAUUCCAUCUUGCUGGCUGGCAACCUGAACACAAGAAAGCACAGAGCCAAGCCCCUUUAUUCUCUUCAGUAUCUAUGGUUAUGUGAAGCAGGUGAAGAUCUUGUUCAACAAGGCGAAGACAGCAGGUAGGCCCAGCUGGCCAUGAGGCACCCAAACAAACUAUAUGGGGAGCCAAUGCAUAUUACAACAUCAAAGCACCAGAGUGUGCAGCUGCCUUGUGAGGGGCAGGAAGACUGGCUUCACCAAAGACGCUGAUAGCUCACCAGUGCACUGCUUCAAGAAGCUGGGCCCCAAGUUCUUUAAGAAUUUCUUCCUGUUCUCAGCCAUCCGGCAACUCAUCAACAUCCCUUCCUCAGUGUCAGAGCAGUUCCUCAAGAACUUCUCAAGCAACAAGGGCAUGACCAAGGGCUUCAAAUUCUUUCAGGGACUGCAGCCCUGAAUUCAUGCUCUCUGUCCCAUCCAUCAUCCCUACUAGAAGAACUACAUGAUGGUUCUGAUCCAGAUAAGUUUGUUGGAGGAAGAAGUGCAGGCACCCAUUAAGCUGCAAAUCCACGACCAAAGCAUCCCUGAACAAAAAGAAUAAUGCUGGUGGGAUUGUUACUCCAGAAUUCAGGAUAUAUUAUAGAUCUCUAGUAAUGAAAAUAUGGCACUGACAUCAAAGAGACAUGUAUGCCAAUGGGACAAAAUAGAAGACCCAAACAUGAGUACUUGUAACUGCAGCCAUCUGCUAUUUGAUAAAGAGGCAAAAAACAUACCCUGGAGAAAAGACAGAGCAUCUUCAACAAGUGGUGGGUAAAGCUGAAGACUGUAUGGCGACAUGCAGAUGAAUGGAUCGGACUCAUACCUGUCCAAUCAUACCCAACAUUAGAUCCAAGUGUACCAAUGACUUCAAUUUGAAACCUGCAACAUUAAAGCUGCUGGAAGUAAACAUAUGCAGUUUCCUUCAAGAGAUAAAUGAAGGGAAGGACCUUCUCAACAGGACCACAUUUGUUCAGGAAUUAAGGUCAGCAAUUGACAACAGGGACCUCAUAAAACUGAAGAGCUUUUGUGCAGCUAAGGAAAUAAUCAAGUGAAGAGGAAGCCUACAGAAUGGGAGAGGGUCAUUGCCAGCUACACAUCUGUUAGAGGGCUAAUAUCUACAAUAUAUGAGGAACUCAAAGAACAAAGAGUCAAGGAAACAAACAGCCCAAUUAAAAAGUGGGCUGGGGAUGUAGACAAUUUCAACAGAAGAAAUAGAAAGGGCUAAGAAAUACCUCAGAAAAAGUGUCCAACUUCCUUAGCAAUUAGGGUAAUGUAAACUAACCCAACGUUGACAAUUCUUAACGAGACUACUGACAACAAAUGCUGCUGCAGAUAUGUCAGCGGGAAUGUCAACUGGCACAGCCACUCUGAAAGUCCAUAUGGAGGAUCCUCAAAAAGCUAAAAAUAGCUCUACAAAAUAACCCAGCUCUACCCUUCGGCAUAUGCCCAAGGGGUAUCCUCCUCUACAGAUUCUUACCUGACUCUGUUCACUGUUGCUCUAUAGCUAGGAAAUGGAAACAAAUGAGAUGUCUGACAACUGACAAUUGAAUAAUGAAGAAGGUCUAAGAAUCCAGUAGUUAUUCAGUGCCAGAGGCUGGAUAUCUCAGCCGAUCUUCAGAAUAUGUCAGAGCCCUGGCAAAGUAGGCUCUAAUGCUCGUAAAGGGAUGGACUUGCUAACAAGGCGAGAGCAAGCACGCAAGGAAAGAGCAAGCUGCCUUCUUCGAUGUCCUUCCUAUAGGCUUCCAACAGAAGGUGUGGCCCAGGUUAAAGGUAGAUCUUUCCCAUCUCUAAGGAUCAGGAUUAAAAGUGAUCCUUCUCACUUCAGAUUAUUUAAUUAAAAAGGACCUCACAGGGAUAACCACUUGAGUUUAAUUAAUCCCAAAAGUAGUCAAGUUGACAGUCAAGAAUAGCCAUCACAGAAACCAGAGGUGGAGCUGGGUGGCUGGGUGUUGGACUUGACACAGGAAUAACAAGCAGUACACAGGUGAUAUGGAGUAGGAAAUAGCAAAAAAUAGGGAAGGGGUCCAACUUGGGAGGAGAGAGGGAGGUCAAUACAGACAGAGAAGGGAUGUGGGACAGAUAAAACUAAUAUUAUUUGAUAAAGCCCCAGAGAAUCAUUUUAUAUUUACCUAAGAUUAUAUACAAUAGAAGAACAAGUGUAUGUGUAUAAUGGAUUGUGUGUGUGUGUGUGUGUGUGUGUGUGUGUGUGUGUGUGUGUAUGUACUGACAAUGUUCCCCACAAGAAUCAUAGAUUAAAAGGUAGCCCAGUACCAAGCCUGGUUCAAAUGGCUAAGGUAGUCCAAGUGAUUCUGAGUAUAGAUGUAGCCCUUGGUUGCCUGUCAGCGGUGGAGGAUAGACCCCGUUGCUGAAUAGACCAAACACUUAGGAUAUACAAUCUUGAGCUGGAUGUGACCUAAAAACCUCUUUUCUGUGGUCUAGCUUCCACUGUUUCAGAAAAUACUAUGGAAGCUGUCAAGGGAGGAAAAUACUUAAACAGUCCUACCCAGUCUUACCUAUGAACCAGAACAAUUGCCAUCACGGUAAGACUGUAGGUAGAAUAAGUGACAAUAACAUGUUGGCAACCAAGAGCUCUGUCAUAGACUUAAAGCCCACCCACUAGGAGGGAAGUAAUGCCUGGUACUUGAAUCCUAGUCAACUUCAUGGGGCUAGUGAGGUUAUGGACUGCAGAAAAGAGUGCACUGCUGCCACUUUGCUAGACCAGCAUAAUUCCUAAUACAUUUUAAAUCUUAUCCUUAUACCCAGAGAUAAUGUAACUACCACCAGGAAGCCUGUCUCUACUGCAAAUGGAAACCAUCACAGGAAACCACAACUGGGCACACUGCACAGACUGGCAGAUUGGGGGAGCUCAGGCCCACGGACACGUAAAGCUCAGCUCUAUGGCCCAGGAAACACUGAGGAAGAGAGUGGAAAGAUUGUAAGAGCAAGAAUACCUGGAAGCCUGCGAAGUUUCUUCCAGAAAUGGCUGUAUAAAUAAAACCAGAACAAUGCCAAUGUCAAUGGAAAUUUUGACAUAGGAGAGCAAAAUUUUCACUGGACAGAGAACUCUAGGCAACCAAUGAGUCCUGGGAGAAUUAGCCUCUCCCAAGGAUAAGCCCAAAUACUGGUUGUCUGAUGCAGAGUGAUCAGACUAGAGACCAUUUAUACUCAAACAACAAAAGUGGACUCAGUAGCUUGGAUGUAUACACACAUAUACAUAGAUAUGCAUGUAACAAUAAUAACAGAACAAGCCCAUCAACCUGAGAGUAAGGGCUGGAUAGGUAGAGGCUGGAGGGAGGGAAGGCAGAGAGAGAAGCAAGGUGUAAUUCUGCUUUAAUUAAAAACUUAUCAACUGAAA
This 4786-nucleotide small RNA is filed under the name Rattus norvegicus (Norway rat). Its description in RNAcentral is "uncharacterized LOC103690810". Lineage: Eukaryota; Metazoa; Chordata; Mammalia; Rodentia; Muridae. The record is from RNAcentral.